RNAcentral lists this ribosomal RNA (752 nucleotides) under uncultured bacterium. RNAcentral describes it as "bacterial SSU rRNA". It matches the Rfam family "Bacterial small subunit ribosomal RNA", at positions 134 to 916 of the family's 1533-position model. The record is from RNAcentral.
GAGUGAAGGAUAGCCAGCCGAAAGGCUGGGUAAUCCUGCAUAAUCUCGAAAGAGCAAAGCCUUCGGGCGCUUGGGGAGAGGCCUUGUCCCUAUCAGCUAGUUGGUGAGGUAAUGGCUUACCAAGGCGAUGACGGGUAGCUGGCCUGAGAGGGUGACCAGCCUCGAUGGGACUGAGACACGGCCCAUACUCCUACGGGAGGCAGCAGUUGGGGAUUUUGCACAAUGGACGAAAGUCUGAUGCAGCAACACUGCGUGAAGGAUGAAGGUUUUCGGAUCGUAAACUUCUUUUAUCUGGGAGUAAUCUUGAAAGUACCAGAUGAAUAAGCACCGGCUAACUACGUGCCAGCAGCCGCGGUAAUACGUAGGGUGCAAACGUUAUCCGGAAUUAUUGGGCGUAAAGAGUUCGUAGGUGGUAUUAUCAGUCAGGUAUUAAAGACCUCGGCUCAACCGAGGAAUCGUAUUUGAUACUGUAAUACUUGAGGUUUGCAGGGGCGGAUGGAAUUCAUGGUGUAGCAGUGAAAUGCGUAGAUAUCAUGAAGAACACCAAUGGCGAAGGCAGUCCGCUGGGCAACACCUGACACUGAGGAACGAAAGCGUGGGUAGCGAACGGGAUUAGAUACCCCGGUAGUCCACGCCGUAAACGAUGCAUACUAGGCAUUUGAAGUAUCGACCCUUCGAGUGCCGAAGCUAACGCGUUAAGUAUGCCGCCUGGGUAGUACGGCCGCAAGGCUAAAACUCAAAGGAAUUGACGG